GGAAUAGCCUCGGGAAACUGGGAGUGAUGCCUUAUAAGAUACGUUUGUCGCAUGGCAUUUGUAUUAAACGCUCCGGCGCCAUAGGAUGGACCCGCGUCCCAUUAGCUAGUUGGUGAGAUAACAGCUCACCAAGGCCACGAUGGGUAACCGGUCUGAGAGGGCGAACGGUCACACUGGAACUGAGACACGGUCCAGACUCCUACGGGAGGCAGCAGUGGGGAAUAUUGCGCAAUGGGGGCAACCCUGACGCAGCAAUACCGCGUGAGUGAAGAAGGUUUUCGGAUCGUAAAGCUCUGUUAUUGGGGAAGAAAAAAAGACGGUACCCAAGAAGAAAGUUCCGGCUAACUACGUGCCAGCAGCCGCGGUAAUACGUAGGGAGCAAGCGUUGUCCGGAUUUACUGGGCGUAAAGGGCACGCAGGCGGUUUUUUAAGUCAGAUGUGAAAGGCCACAGCUCAACUGUGGACAUGCAUUUGAAACUGAAAGACUUGAGUAUUGGAGAGGCAAGUGGAAUUCCUAGUGUAGCGGUGAAAUGCGUAGAUAUUAGGAGGAACACCGGUGGCGAAGGCGGCUUGCUGGACAAAUACUGACG
This 590-nucleotide ribosomal RNA is filed under the name uncultured bacterium. RNAcentral describes it as "bacterial SSU rRNA". It matches the Rfam family "Bacterial small subunit ribosomal RNA", at positions 140 to 745 of the family's 1533-position model. The record is from RNAcentral.